Molecule: ribosomal RNA, 490 nt
Filed under: uncultured bacterium
Lineage: Bacteria
Description: partial 16S ribosomal RNA
Rfam family: Bacterial small subunit ribosomal RNA
Source: RNAcentral
AUCGAACGCUGGCGGCAGGCCUAACACAUGCAAGUCGAACGGUAACAGGAAGAAGCUUGCUUCUUUGCUGACGAGCGCCGGACGGGUGAGUAAUGUCUGGGAAACUGCCUGAUGGAGGGGGAUAUCUACUGGAAACGGUAGCUAAUACCGCAUAACGACCCCAGACCAAAGAGGGGGCCCUUCGGGCCCCUUGCCAUCGGAUGUGCCCCGAUGGGAUUAGCUAGUAGGUGGGGUUACGGCUCACCUAGGCGACGAUCCCUAGCUGGUCUGAGAGGAUGACUAGCCAGACUGGAACAGAGGAACGUUCGAGACUCCUACGGUGAGAAGCGGUGGAGAAUAUUACACGAUGGAGCAAUGCCGGAUGCAGCCAUGUGGGGGGAAUGAAGAAGGACUUCGGGUUGUAAAGUGAUUUCGGCGUGGAGGAAGUGAGUAAAGUUAAUACGUGAGGACAUUGACGUUACCCGGAGAAGAAGCACCGGCUAACUCCGUG